CCCUAGCAUAGUUGAUUAACGAAAUGAGUAAAUCAAAUAUUGGUGUGCUGUGAACUCUGAAGGAACCCUAGCGAGCGCAGUCAGCACCGCCAUCACACCUUCAGCCACCGUCUACCGUGUCAGCAGUGAGAGAUGGGGACCAAGGCAAAGAAAGCCAUGCACAAGAGUUUGAAAAGGAUCAAUGCUAAACCAUCGCAUUCUCAACCUGCUGCUGAUUUUUUGCCGUUGGAUUGUGGUCCUGGCCGUAAACUUCCUGAACUUAAACCCUGGAAAAUACUUCCC
Medicago truncatula (barrel medic) is the source of this 282-nucleotide long non-coding RNA. RefSeq lists it as uncharacterized. NCBI's taxonomy places the organism in Eukaryota, Viridiplantae, Streptophyta, Magnoliopsida, Fabales, Fabaceae. The record is from RefSeq and is a predicted model, not a curated record. The transcript has 3 exons.